GGAAUUAGUAAGAAAGACUUGAACAAAUGGCGGAUUUGAUCUCGUUAAUGCCAUCUAAAAAUUGAUUUUUUCACAAUAUUUCGCACAGAAAAGGAUCUUGGAAUGACUAAAACCGCCAUUUCAUGGAAGUAUAUAUUAGCAGAAUUGUUUGUGGAAGACAGAACAGAACUUGCAAUAGUCUCAGAGCGGUGGACCAUUGAUGAGAAUGUUCUUAAGUAUCCGUCCAACUUGAAGGGACCAAAAAGGAUGAAGAGCAUAAUGGAUCAUGUUAUACCAGAAGAUACCUGGACCGAGUAUCAAUACAGGAAGGAGGCUUAGAGUCAUUGUCUCAGAGAGGUGGCCAUUGCUUAGGAUGUUCUUAAGUAUCCGUCCCACUUGAAGGGACAAAAAAGGAUGAAUAGCAUCAUGGAUCAUGUAAUACCAGAUACCUGGACCGAGUAUCAAUACAGAAGGCUUAGAGUCAUUGUCUCAGAGAGGUGGCCAUUGCUUAGGAUGUUCUUAAGUAUCCGUCCCACUUGAAGGGACAAAAAAGGAUGAAUAGCAUCAUGGAUCAUGUAAUACCAGAUACCUGGGCCGAGUAUCAAUACAGAAGGCUUAGUCUUUGGUUACUGGAAUCAGGCAAAAGAAAUGGAUCAACGUGCAGCUGAAAAUGAAUCUGACGGCUUGAAAACAACUCAUGAAACAAGGAAGAAGAGUUUGUCGAGAAAACCUGCAAUUUACUUUCCCAGUUCUUUUUUCCUUGGAAAUUGCAAAAGAACACAUUCUUCAUCAUCCAACGAGAAUUCAAGAGCCAUUGAUCCAAUUUCUCCAGUGAUUUAAUUGUUAACUCAAUAGUCAAUACGCAACUGUUGUGUUCAAUUCUGACUUGGUGUUAUCUUGUAUGUCAUGUGUUAACUAAUAUGUCAUAAAUGUGUUCUAAUGGACAAUAUAAUCAAGUUAAGUGCACUUUACGUAUUAUUUAUUAAAAAAUUACAACGACUAGCAGCAAAUAAUAGUACAGAUUUUAUUCCCUAAAAAUGAACAAAAUAGACCCAGUCCACGCACUGGGAAGGUCUUUUGUUCACUUUUGUUCGUGAACUGUUCACGCACUGAGGGCGGCAAUAGGGAGGAAAAUGUACACUCCAUGUUCAUGUACAUUGUUCAUGAACAGGGAGUUUUUGUUCACUGUUUGUUCACGAACUGUGCGAACUUUUGCUAGGUGGGAAUUG
Daphnia pulicaria is the source of this 1208-nucleotide long non-coding RNA. RefSeq lists it as uncharacterized. The transcript is spliced from 5 exons. Lineage: Eukaryota; Metazoa; Arthropoda; Branchiopoda; Diplostraca; Daphniidae. The record is from RefSeq and is a predicted model, not a curated record.